UAGGGAAUCUUCUGCAAUGGACGCAAGUCUGACGGAGCAACGCCGCGCGAGUGAAGAAGGAUUUCGGUUCGUAAAACUCUGUUGUUAGAGAAGAACAGCGCAUAGAGUAACUGUUAUGCGUGUGACGGUAUCUAACCAGAAAGCCACGGCUAACUACGUGCCAGCAGCCGCGGUAAUACGUAGGUGGCAAGCGUUGUCCGGAUUUAUUGGGCGUAAAGCGAGCGCAGGCGGUCAAUUAAGUCUGAUGUGAAAGCCCCCGGCUCAACCGGGGAGGGUCGUUGGAAACUGGUUGACUUGAGUGCAGAAGAGGAGAGUGGAAUUCCAUGUGUAGCGGUGAAAUGCGUAGAUGUAUGGAGGAACACCAGUGGAGAAGGCGACUCUCUGGUCUGUAACUGACGCUGGGGCUCGAAAGCGUGGGUAGCAAACAGG
Molecule: ribosomal RNA, 429 nt
Filed under: Bacteroidota bacterium
Lineage: Bacteria; Pseudomonadati; Bacteroidota
Description: Bacteroidetes bacterium partial 16S ribosomal RNA
Rfam family: Bacterial small subunit ribosomal RNA
Source: RNAcentral